Molecule: non-coding RNA, 225 nt
Organism: Biomphalaria pfeifferi
Lineage: Eukaryota; Metazoa; Mollusca; Gastropoda; Planorbidae
Source: the annotation of a GenBank genome assembly
CCCCCCCCCCACACAUAGAGAUGUAAUUUUAAAAAUCUCAUCAACACAAAAUAUUUUUAUUUUUUAUUUUUGCUAUUCAAACUAAGACUGUCUUUCGGUUGUUCCCUUUUCACUUGUAAAUAUGCAACAUGUAGACCAUAUAUAUGUGUUAGCAUUGCAGAGUUUAAACAAAUGCGCAUGUUUUCAUGCCAAUCUUUCCAUUGCUUCCUCUUCUUUAAAAUGUUA